UUAAGCGACUAAGCGUACACGGUGGAUGCCCUGGCAGUCAGAGGCGAUGAAGGACGUGCUAAUCUGCGAUAAGCGUCGGUAAGGUGAUAUGAACCGUUAUAACCGGCGAUUUCCGAAUGGGGAAACCCAGUGUGAUUCGUCACACUAUCAUUAACUGAAUCCAUAGGUUAAUGAGGCGAACCGGGGGAACUGAAACAUCUAAGUACCCCGAGGAAAAGAAAUCAACCGAGAUUCCCCCAGUAGCGGCGAGCGAACGGGGAGCAGCCCAGAGCCUGAAUCAGUGUGUGUGUUAGUGGAAGCGUCUGGAAAGGCGCGCGAUACAGGGUGACAGCCCCGUACACAAAAAUGCACAUGCUGUGAGCUCGAUGAGUAGGGCGGGACACGUGGUAUCCUGUCUGAAUAUGGGGGGACCAUCCUCCAAGGCUAAAUACUCCUGACUGACCGAUAGUGAACCAGUACCGUGAGGGAAAGGCGAAAAGAACCCCGGCGAGGGGAGUGAAAAAGAACCUGAAACCGUGUACGUACAAGCAGUGGGAGCACGCUUAGGCGUGUGACUGCGUACCUUUUGUAUAAUGGGUCAGCGACUUAUAUUCUGUAGCAAGGUUAACCGAAUAGGGGAGCCGAAGGGAAACCGAGUCUUAACUGGGCGUUAAGUUGCAGGGUAUAGACCCGAAACCCGGUGAUCUAGCCAUGGGCAGGUUGAAGGUUGGGUAACACUAACUGGAGGACCGAACCGACUAAUGUUGAAAAAUUAGCGGAUGACUUGUGGCUGGGGGUGAAAGGCCAAUCAAACCGGGAGAUAGCUGGUUCUCCCCGAAAGCUAUUUAGGUAGCGCCUCGUGAAUUCAUCUCCGGGGGUAGAGCACUGUUUCGGCAAGGGGGUCAUCCCGACUUACCAACCCGAUGCAAACUGCGAAUACCGGAGAAUGUUAUCACGGGAGACACACGGCGGGUGCUAACGUCCGUCGUGAAGAGGGAAACAACCCAGACCGCCAGCUAAGGUCCCAAAGUCAUGGUUAAGUGGGAAACGAUGUGGGAAGGCCCAGACAGCCAGGAUGUUGGCUUAGAAGCAGCCAUCAUUUAAAGAAAGCGUAAUAGCUCACUGGUCGAGUCGGCCUGCGCGGAAGAUGUAACGGGGCUAAACCAUGCACCGAAGCUGCGGCAGCGACGCUUAUGCGUUGUUGGGUAGGGGAGCGUUCUGUAAGCCUGCGAAGGUGUGCUGUGAGGCAUGCUGGAGGUAUCAGAAGUGCGAAUGCUGACAUAAGUAACGAUAAAGCGGGUGAAAAGCCCGCUCGCCGGAAGACCAAGGGUUCCUGUCCAACGUUAAUCGGGGCAGGGUGAGUCGACCCCUAAGGCGAGGCCGAAAGGCGUAGUCGAUGGGAAACAGGUUAAUAUUCCUGUACUUGGUGUUACUGCGAAGGGGGGACGGAGAAGGCUAUGUUGGCCGGGCGACGGUUGUCCCGGUUUAAGCGUGUAGGCUGGUUUUCCAGGCAAAUCCGGAAAAUCAAGGCUGAGGCGUGAUGACGAGGCACUACGGUGCUGAAGCAACAAAUGCCCUGCUUCCAGGAAAAGCCUCUAAGCAUCAGGUAACAUCAAAUCGUACCCCAAACCGACACAGGUGGUCAGGUAGAGAAUACCAAGGCGCUUGAGAGAACUCGGGUGAAGGAACUAGGCAAAAUGGUGCCGUAACUUCGGGAGAAGGCACGCUGAUAUGUAGGUGAAGUCCCUCGCGGAUGGAGCUGAAAUCAGUCGAAGAUACCAGCUGGCUGCAACUGUUUAUUAAAAACACAGCACUGUGCAAACACGAAAGUGGACGUAUACGGUGUGACGCCUGCCCGGUGCCGGAAGGUUAAUUGAUGGGGUCAGCGCAAGCGAAGCUCUUGAUCGAAGCCCCGGUAAACGGCGGCCGUAACUAUAACGGUCCUAAGGUAGCGAAAUUCCUUGUCGGGU
Molecule: ribosomal RNA, 1949 nt
Filed under: human gut metagenome
Description: bacterial LSU rRNA
Rfam family: Bacterial large subunit ribosomal RNA
Source: RNAcentral